RNAcentral lists this ribosomal RNA (516 nucleotides) under uncultured bacterium. Its description in RNAcentral is "bacterial SSU rRNA". It matches the Rfam family "Bacterial small subunit ribosomal RNA", at positions 8 to 518 of the family's 1533-position model. The record is from RNAcentral.
AGAGUUGAUCAUGGCUCAGGAUGAACGCUAGCGACAGGCUAACACAUGCAAGUCGAGGGCAGCAUAAAAGUAGCAAUACUUUGGUGGCGACCGGCGCACGGGUGAGUAACGCGUAUGCAACCUACCUAUCAGAGGGGAAUAACCCGGCGAAAGUCGGACUAAUACCGCAUAAAACAGGGGCACCGCAUGGUGAUAUUUGUUAAAGAAAUUCGCUGAUAGAUGGGCAUGCGUUCCAUUAGGUAGUUGGUGAGGUAACGGCUCACCAAGCCGACGAUGGAUAGGGGAACUGAGAGGUUGGUCCCCCACACUGGUACUGAGACACGGACCAGACUCCUACGGGAGGCAGCAGUGAGGAAUAUUGGUCAAUGGGCGGGAGCCUGAACCAGCCAAGUCGCCGUGAAGGAAGAAGGAUCUAUGGUUCGUAAACUUCUUUUGCAGGGGAAUAAAGUGCAGGACGUGUCCUGUUUUGUAUGUACCCUGAGAAUAAGGAUCGGCUAACUCCGUGCCAGCCGCCGC